GACGAACGCUGGCGGCGUGCUUAACACAUGCAAGUCGAACGGAAAGGCCCUGCUUUUGUGGGGUGCUCGAGUGGCGAACGGGUGAGUAACACGUGAGUAACCUGCCCUUGACUUUGGGAUAACUUCAGGAAACUGGGGCUAAUACCGGAUAGGAGCUCCUGCUGCAUGGUGGGGGUUGGAAAGUUUCGGCGGUUGGGGAUGGACUCGCGGCUUAUCAGCUUGUUGGUGGGGUAGUGGCUUACCAAGGCUUUGACGGGUAGCCGGCCUGAGAGGGUGACCGGCCACAUUGGGACUGAGAUACGGCCCAGACUCCUACGGGAGGCGGCAGUGGGGAAUAUUGCACAAUGGGCGGAAGCCUGAUGCAGCAACGCCGCGUGCGGGAUGACGGCCUUCGGGUUGUAAACCGCUUUCGCCUGUGACGAAGCGUGAGUGACGGUAAUGGGAAAAGAAGCACCGGCUAACUACGUG
This 468-nucleotide ribosomal RNA is filed under the name uncultured bacterium. Its description in RNAcentral is "partial 16S ribosomal RNA". It matches the Rfam family "Bacterial small subunit ribosomal RNA", at positions 28 to 507 of the family's 1533-position model. The record is from RNAcentral.